This 2253-nucleotide long non-coding RNA is filed under the name Homo sapiens (human). Its description in RNAcentral is "HSALNT0317189". The record is from RNAcentral. Lineage: Eukaryota; Metazoa; Chordata; Mammalia; Primates; Hominidae.
CGUGUGCAAUGUUGUAAUAGAGGUACAAGCAACACAGGGAUAGGGAGAAGGUGAUCCACAUUGCAGGGGCCUAAUUACAGGGGGCCCUGAAUGCCAAGCCAAGACUUGGAAAAUUAGAAGGUCUACAAGGACUCCAGAACUCUCCAGGAGUGAUGAAAGAUGGUGUCUUAGCCUGGGUUUCUGCAACAAGCAGAGCCUAGCACAACAUGGUGGUUUACUUUGAAAAGUGAUCCCAAGAAACAGGAGUGAGAGGCUCGGAAGAGUCAAACGGAAAGAGGACAAGCCAACCAAGGCUGUGCCUGGGUGCAUCACGAUUCACCUAAAAAUCACCACUGAAAUCCGCAGCAGGCAAUUGUGCCAGACAACAGGUGAUGACGGGGGCAAACACGACUCAGCUUCUGCCUGCAGCAUCUACAGUCAUGGAAGGAGACCUCCGUGAAAGUGUGGUGUUUGCUGUGAGAGGGAGCAGACGCUCACUGCCAUAGAUCUCAGAGACCACCAAGGCUGAAUAAGCUGAACAACGCAUGCGGAAAGUCCACAGGCCUGCACACCAAUGGCCACAGCCUGUUCUCUCCCUGCAGGUAGGACACUCAUGCGGUACCACCCUUCCUGAGGACACCUUCCUUCCAUUGCCUGGACAGCAGCAUCCUGCCCUGGGCCACCCUCCAUGUGGAUGCCCUUCCCACUUCCCCAGGGCACUGACUCCAAGCGCAAGGUGCCCUUGCAAUAGACACUCUCCUCACCCCUCUAGUUCUGCCAUCCUGCCCUGGGCCACCUUCUGUGUAGACCCCUCCUCACCCCACUGAGGGUCUGAGUCUCCGUGCCAGGACAUCCUCCCUGGACAGGACCCCCUUCGGACCCUGCUUUGGUCUCCGACACAUGCUGGGCUGCCCCCUCCUAUGUUGGCACCCUCCUCGCUCCACAUGGGCAACCUCACACUGGACCACCGCCCUUGUGUGAGCCUCUAUCUCACCCCGGUGGACUCCACCCUCCUGCUCUGGGCACGCUACUUCCUCCCCACUCAGCUACAGAGGCCUGCCUUGCUCUACCUUACCUAAUGGCUUCUGAACAGAAUUUUCUAGAAGGGAGAGGAAGAAGCAUCGAGCUGGUUCUCUUGGCCUGUUCCUGGAUCCCAUCCUUCUCCUUUGUUCCCGGCUCCUCCAUUCUCUAGGAAUCUCAAUCUCUUCCGGCAUUGCUGAGUUCUCAAGCUCUCUACUUUCCACUGAGCCUGUGAGUCCAGCAGGGACUGGGGUUGGGAUGCAGUUUUCAGAGACCUGUGACUACACCUUUGUUACUGGAUAGACUCCUCAGCCCUGGAUCAGCCACAGCCCUCUCCCAGGAAGCCCCUCAACUCUCUGCUAUUACCCUUCUCCAAGGCCUGAAAACAGGACUCUCUCUUCGAGAAGAUCACAGACCCUUGAGAAGAUACAGAAAUUCUCUGCUCGGCCCAAGUCAAAAUAAAAUGACUGAAUAGGCCAGGGCAGCACAGACGAGAGAGGAGUUUUCUCUGGGGCAGUGGUUCUCCAAGUGUAGUCACUGAGCAAGCAGCAGCAGAGUCAGCUGGGAACUUGUGGGACAUACAGAUCCUGGAGCCCCACCCAGACUACUGAAGCAGAACCUCCUGGGGUGGCGCUGGCAAUCUGUGUUUUAAUAAGCCCUCCUCAUUCUGAUGUCCUCUAAAGUGUGAGAACCACAGCUCCAGAAUACUGCAGGGCAGUGACGGGUGGAGGAGAAGGAGUAGGGCUGACUUCUCAGAAGAGUCCCGAAGACCUUGUCCUUGAGUCUGCAGAGAAGUUCACCAGGCAGACAAAGAAAGAAAGAGCAAGCCCAGGCAUACCCACAAGUACCAUCUGAGCUCUGCAUACCUUCUGAUAUAUGUUUAAUAAUCUUGGAAUAACAAUUGUAUUGAUAUUAUGUUGUUUAGAGUAAGUGGCAAUGUAUUCUUUGAAGAGUUAAAACUGUUUUCUGUGUUUAGAAAAGUUCUCACUUGAACUUAAUUUUGUGUUCUAAAUUUAACUAAGGAUUAUUUUUAUACAAACUUUUGAAAGCUUACUAAAUUUAUCUGAUUAACUUGUUAACAGUAGGUAGUUAGGCAGACAUAAGCAGGGCAGACCCCCACCCCCACCCCAGGAACGUCAGACAACCAUCAGGUGAUGGUCAGGAAGUUGUUCCACUGCUCCCUAAAAUAAUAACUGAUCGCACCCAGCACCAGGGAAAGGCAGUCUCCCAAUAGAUAGAAAACACCUGGCCGGG